Triticum aestivum (bread wheat) is the source of this 3162-nucleotide long non-coding RNA. RefSeq lists it as uncharacterized. The transcript is spliced from 2 exons. Lineage: Eukaryota; Viridiplantae; Streptophyta; Magnoliopsida; Poales; Poaceae. The record is from RefSeq and is a predicted model, not a curated record.
GGUCACAACGGUGAAGCUGAAAUCAACCAUUGCCGAGUAGGCCGUGGGAGUAGACAGAUAAUCCGCCCACAUUGUUGUAAGCUAGUGCGGAUGAGAGAGUCGGCCGCGGUAUUGUAAGCCGGUGCGGUUGCGAGAGACGGCCACGACGUUGUAAACCGGUGCAGGAGCCCGUUGAGUAACGCGACACGGACGACCACCUGUGCUGAAUGAUGUUGGCGUGCCCCCAUCUCCACGGUAUAAUACCAUUUUGUAAUGAAUAACGGUUUUGCUAUUUCACAGUCGAGUGUUUUACAAUUGGGCAUCAUCCAAUUUUGUGGUCGUUCAAUCUUGCACGGAGAUUCACACUGGGAGGUGUCUUUUUUAGGGCGUUUCCCUUUUCUGUUCCUUACUGGUGGCGUAAUAGUUUCCGGGCCAACCCGUUACUGCCCAAGUGCCCAUCCCCUAGGCCCUAGCCCUCUGUCUCCUUUUUUUCCAUUUCUGUCCUUUCGAUUCCUUGGCGAUUUCCUUGUCCACCAUGGUGAUUCCCAGCUCCUUCUCUACUACAGCUUGAUUUCCGAUCCAGUUUCUUGUGGUUUUGGUUGGUUGUUCUCGUCUGCUCUCUUUCCCCCACUGGAUUUCUUCUAGAUCUACUGGUUUGAUUCAAUUCCCCCGGUGUUUGAUAUAGACGUACGUGUACGUGUACUCAUAGCGGUGUAUUUUCUCUGGCAAUUCUUGUUGUUCUUGUAGUGGUAGGUGCAUGGAUGUAGCGGUGAAUUCGUUUCCCCUGUCGAUUUUCUAUGUGCUGGCCUAGGCGUCUGAUCUGCUGGAUCUAGUGGUAUUGGUAGUUUUAUUCUUGAUCGUUCAUGUUAUGUAGAUGUAGGUCCUUAGUUCCUUGCUCUUCCCCUGUUGAUUUGAUAUCUGCUAGCCUGGGAGUCUGAUUCAGAGGGUGUUUUGGGGGGGUUAGAUGUAGGUUCCUUGGUUGCUUGUUUCUGUAUGUUCGUGUGAUGUAGAUGCAGGUGCUUAUUUCAGUCCUUGCUCUAAAUUUCCUUUGCCCUGGUCGGUUGAUUUUGCUCGUCUGUGUGAUGUAGAAGUCGGCGGUAAUGGUCAAUCCUUGCUCCUUGCUCUGAAUUUGGUUCACCAGUCAUUUUUUAUUCUGAUGGCCCUUGUGAUGUGGAUGCAUGUCCUAAUUGUCAAUCAUUGAUCUGAAUUUAGGUUCAAGUGAUGUAGAGAUGUAGUAGUAAUUUAGGCAAACCUCCCUCGUCUGAAGUCAGGUCCUUAGUCAUGUGAAUGUUCUUAUUCAUUCUGUUUUGGUUCUGUAUGUAUUUGGUGGUUUGUGUUGUAUCUUCAGCUAUUUUUUGUUCAUGAAUUUCUCUGCCCUAGUACUUCUAUAAUGAGGUGUUGGUACUUUAGAUGCUAUCUCCUUAUUAGGUUGUGUAAUUUUCAGUUUUGGUGUUGUGCAAUUUCAGUUUUUCACUCAUUCUGUAGUAUGGUUUGGUACAGUCAUGUCAGUGUUGUUGUAUCCUCAUAUAUUUGAUGCUUAGGGUUUUGUGUGUGUUAUAUUUCAGGAUCAUGACGAGAAUGAACUUCUCUUUCAUGUAAUGGUUUAGAUGAGUCACGGUCCUGUUCGCUGCCAGUCUUUUUCCCUUCCCGACUAGAUGAAUAAAAUAUUAAUUCCAUUCGGGCAUGUGAGGAAGGGCGGCGUCGGCUUGACCAUGUCUUCUGUCUUAGUCGUUUCGGAGACUAAGUUUCUCAUUCAAUGGUGAGGUGUUUAUAGAAAGCAAGGCCUCGCUCGACGAGUCAUGUAGUCAUAGGUUUGAGUUCCCUAAUCAGUAGUGUAAGUUCCACAAGUAAGUAGUGUAACUUCCAUUUGAAUUCCAUUAGUUUGCAACAUUUUUGAAUUUGUAUCACACUGGUGAGUUUCCUAGUUUUUUAGUACUGCAAGUUCCAUAGGCAAGUACUGGAAGCUUCCUAGUUUUGCAAUGCCCACUUGCACUUUUAGAACCGAACAUUUUGGGUUUCUCUUUGUUGGAUUUGUAUUGAAUCCAGUUUACCAUUUGAAAGUCUAAAUGGAUAUUACUGAAACUAAAGUGUAAUCACAAUGUUCUAAUCUCUUAAAUGCAUGUGUUUUUAUUAGAAAUCUGGUAUAAUUUUACUGAAAUUUGUACUGUGAGCACAAUGUAUGUUUCAGUGAAAUUUUAGUGGAAUUAUUAUGUGCAUUUUCAGUGGAAUUAUAGUGCUUUUGAAUUGUAAUUACAGUGGGGAUUUCAGUGUAAUUACAGUGAGUAUUUGAGAGUAAUCACAUUAUCUUUUUAGUUAAUUUAGCCCUCAGGAUGUUUGGGUUUUGUCAUUGUUGGUGCAUUCACUUUAGAACAAUUUAUUUUCUUUUGUUAGGGUUAUUGGUAUACUCGUACUUUAUUUCUGCCCAUUUGUGUAAGCAACCUUAGUUGUGCACAUGAUUUUCUAGUAUAUGUAAUUUCAGCAAUUUGGUAACUGUAUUUUCAGUGUUUUUAGGCUUAUAGCUACUAUAAUUUACUACUUUGGAAAUGCUCUUUUUUUUGCACUGUACAUGCUAAAUAUUGUGGUUAUUCUAUGUCCCCAGUGCUUUUAUGCAAACUGACCAGUUUAGUGUCGUGGAAUAGAUAGAUUAUGUGAUCUCUGCAAAUUUUCUGGUGAUUUUGCAGGUGCUUAGGGUUUAGGGUUUCCAUACUCCAAUAGCCUCUCUGAUUUGGUGUUGUUCCCUUGUUAUUUCUUUCCACCGGCUCUCCAUGUACUAACAGUUCCAGAGCUCCUGAACUGUUAGAUAUUGUUGUACAUUUUUUCUUCAUAUAAUAAAGAUCGGCCAAUGGCCCUUCGAGAUUUUGCAGGUGCUUGCACAUCAAAGAUGUGCAAUUAACUAGGAGUUGAAAGUGAAGCUACUGUUGACAUGUCAAGUGCUCAAAUAAUGUGUAUUUUUUCUAGUGUAUUUCCAUUGUGUUCUUUGCAGUCAAUGUGUAAUUACAGUGCAUUUCAGUAGAGUUACAGUGCUUUUUAUUUGUAACUAGAAUGGAAUUUCAGUGCAAUUACAGUGGGGAUUUUAGUGGAUUUUCUAGAGUAAUCGCAGUUUACGUCACGAUGUAAUUACGGUGAAUUUUUAGUCUCACUACAGUGGGCAUUUAAGAGGAUUUUGAGAGAUAUUAUACUGCA